AUUUUCUUAGCUUAACAGGUAGAGCUAAAGUCUUCUAAACUUUAUGUAGUGGUUCAAUCCCACUAGGAAAUU
RNAcentral lists this transfer RNA (72 nucleotides) under Ganoderma sp. TQC-2021a. RNAcentral describes it as "tRNA-Arg". It matches the Rfam family "tRNA". Rfam says of the family: Transfer RNA (tRNA) molecules are approximately 80 nucleotides in length. Lineage: Eukaryota; Fungi; Basidiomycota; Agaricomycetes; Polyporales; Polyporaceae. The record is from RNAcentral.